AUUGAACGCUGGCGGCAGGCCUAACACAUGCAAGUCGAGCGAGAAAGGCCUUCGGGCUGAGUAGAGCGGCGGACGGGUGAGUAACGCGUAGGAAGCUACCCGGUAGCGGGGGAUAACUCGGGGAAACUCGAGCUAAUACCGCAUACGCCCUGAGGGGGAAAGCGGGGGACCGUAAGGCCUCGCACUAUCGGAUGCGCCUGCGUCGGAUUAGCUGGUUGGUAGGGUAACGGCCCACCAAGGCGACGAUCCGUAGCUGGGCUGAGAGGAUGAUCAGCCACACGGGGACUGAGACACGGCCCAGACUCCUACGGGAGGCAGCAGUGGGGAAUAUUGGACAAUGGGGGCAACCCUGAUCCAGCGAUGCCGCGUGGGUGAAGAAGGCCUUCGGGUUGUAAAGCCCUUUAGACUGGGAAGAAGGUUACAGGCUGAAUAAUCCUGUAGCUUGACGGUACUGGUAGAAUAAGCACCGGCAAACUCUGUGCCAGCCGCCGCAGUAA
This 497-nucleotide ribosomal RNA is filed under the name uncultured bacterium. RNAcentral describes it as "partial 16S ribosomal RNA". It matches the Rfam family "Bacterial small subunit ribosomal RNA", at positions 29 to 523 of the family's 1533-position model. The record is from RNAcentral.